RNAcentral lists this long non-coding RNA (1098 nucleotides) under Coffea arabica (coffee). RNAcentral's name for it is "long non-coding RNA (CARA_LNC001712)". Lineage: Eukaryota; Viridiplantae; Streptophyta; Magnoliopsida; Gentianales; Rubiaceae. The record is from RNAcentral.
GCAAAACAAUUGGCCAGAUCGACUACUCAAACUAUAUGGAUCGGCUGUUCAAAACAUCUCAAACUCUUGGCCUCUUAACACUCUCUACACCAGUGGUUCCUAAUUGGUAAACAGUGGAUUCAUCUGUCUCAGACUUGUGUUUUUUUCCCGCAUUAAGGGUGCGAGGGCGCACAAAAUUUCGGCAACGGCAGGUACUGCUAAUAAAUUUUCCAUCUCAAAUCCUAAUAAUAUGGCUUAGCUAAACAUCCAUUUGCUGUUGCUACUUAUUUUUCAUUGCUAAAUAUGUCAAAAUUUUCAAGGUAAUAAAUAAUGCAUUUUUUUGCAUUAAACAUCCAUUUGCUGUUGUAUGGGUCACUCUUUUCCCUUUACAAUUUAAUUUUUCUGCAUCUCAACAUUCAUGCCCACUCAGGCAAUUUUGGCAAGUAUGUAGAUAGUGGUAUUUGGAACCCGUGUAAAGUUUGUUAUUACUAUAGCAGUCAGACUUCAAACUCCUAAGGUUGGGGAAUAGCAACAACCUAAGUUGUUCUCUAUAAUUAUAGUUUUAGAGAACCCCGAUUUCCUUCUCAACAAAAUUGUCUUUGUAUUACUUGCGCUUCGACGAAUGCUUCCCACCUGAUUGGUAAUGAAUUUACAUAUCAUUUUAAUUGUACUAGUCAUCCGGGCUACAAUUAAUAACCAAUACCAGGCACUAUGAAAAGUAAAGGUCUCACUUCUUAGGGAAGUUCAUUGUUUUUGUGCUUCUGAUUAACUUUUCUUUAUAGUUUUGGCAAGAACCAACUGUUGUAGUGCAUCCAUGUAGUUUAUUUGCCAUUUCCACCCCACGCAGUUGUGAUUGGUAAACGAAUUUGAAGGGCAGUCAUGCUUGGUAAUUUCAUCCAUGCUUGGAGGAAAGUGCAAAAUUGACUCCCUAUGUAUGCUAUCGAAUCCUUUUUAAUUGCUCUAUUGUAGUGUUGAAAUUGUAUUCAUUUGUUUUUCAAUGUUGCAGCCUCUCCUACUAGCUGUACUUCAGAUUUCUCUCCACACUCAUCAAGUGACUCCAACAACUACCAACUAUGUGUUGAAAAUUACCACAAGUAGGUAUGUUGUCAUUGCUAUCUG